This 360-nucleotide ribosomal RNA is filed under the name Triticum aestivum (bread wheat). RNAcentral describes it as "partial small subunit ribosomal RNA". The record is from RNAcentral. Lineage: Eukaryota; Viridiplantae; Streptophyta; Magnoliopsida; Poales; Poaceae.
AUGGAUGAUAUUUGGAGCUCGUCCUCGUCAUCUGAGUCGGAUGAUUCUGACAUAGAAGAGAUGAUUUUUUACGACGAUCUCGAGCAUCCUUUUUUGGUGCACCUUGUUGACAAAUUUGAAGCCAGCAAGAAGAAGAGGCAUCGCGCUUCGACGGUCAGCCGGCUUUGCAUUCCACGCAACCAAGCUCUCGGUCACAAGUUGCUCAUGAGAGACUACUUUGCUAAGGUACCAACCUACCCGGAUCAUCUCUUCCUUUGGCGUUAUCGAAUGUGUAUGUCUCUUUUUGUUCGCAUUGUGGAAGCUUGCAAACAAAAUUGUCGGUUCUUCACUCACCAAAGAAGCCGGUCUGCUAGGAUUUAA